This 487-nucleotide ribosomal RNA is filed under the name uncultured bacterium. RNAcentral describes it as "partial 16S ribosomal RNA". It matches the Rfam family "Bacterial small subunit ribosomal RNA", at positions 28 to 523 of the family's 1533-position model. The record is from RNAcentral.
GAUGAACGCUGGCGGCGUGCUUAACACAUGCAAGUCGAACGGUGAAGGUGGGAGCUUGCUCCUGCUGGAUCAGUGGCGAACGGGUGAGUAACACGUGAGUAACCUGCCCCGGACUCUGGGAUAAGCGUUGGAAACGACGUCUAAUACCGGAUACGAGACGAGAAGGCAUCUUCAUCGUCUGGAAAGAUUUUUUGGUCUGGGAUGGACUCGCGGCCUAUCAGGUUGUUGGUGAGGUAAUGGCUCACCAAGCCUACGACGGGUAGCCGGCCUGAGAGGGUGACCGGCCACACUGGGACUGAGACACGGCCCAGACUCCUACGGGGGGCAGCAGUGGGGAAUAUUGCACAAGGGGCGAAAGCCUGAUGCAGCAACGCCGCGUGAGGGACGACGGCCUUCGGGUUGUAAACCUCUUUUAGUAGGGAAGAAGCGAAAGUGACGGUACCUGCAGAAAAAGCACCGGCUAACUACGUGCCAGCCGCCGCCGUAA